GUAGGGUCGUACUCUACGGAUGUUCCUCUUCCUGUGUGAAGUAGGGUCGUACUCUACGGAUGUUCCUCUUCCUGUGUGAGGUAGGGUCGUACUCUACGGAUGUUCCUCCUCCUGUGUGAGGUAGGGUCGUACUCUACGGAUGUUCCUCUUCCUGUGUGAAGUAGGGUCGUACUCUACGGAUGUUCCUCUUCCUGUGUGAGGUAGGGUCGUACUCUACGGAUGUUCCUCUUCCUGUGUGAGGUAGGGUCGUACUCUAUGGAUGUUCCUCUUCCUGUGUGAGGUAGGGUCGUACUCUACGGAUGUUCCUCUUCCUGUGUGAGGUAGGGUCGUACUCUACGGAUGUUCCUCUUCCUGUGUGAGGUAGGGUCGUACUCUACAGAUGUUCCUCUUCCUGUGUGAGGUAGGGUCGUACUCUACGGAU
This is a long non-coding RNA of Oncorhynchus tshawytscha (Chinook salmon), 421 nucleotides long. Lineage: Eukaryota; Metazoa; Chordata; Actinopteri; Salmoniformes; Salmonidae. The record is from Ensembl.